This 15890-nucleotide long non-coding RNA is filed under the name Glycine max (soybean). RNAcentral describes it as "long non-coding RNA (GMAX_LNC001461)". Lineage: Eukaryota; Viridiplantae; Streptophyta; Magnoliopsida; Fabales; Fabaceae. The record is from RNAcentral.
AGAAACCCCAACAAGCACACCAUAGUGUACUAUAGGAGGAUCACAGUAAUUUCUUGGUACAAAGAUAAUGCUUUUGGUUGGGUGAGCUUAACACCCUUUGACCAAGGCCACAAGAACACAACCUUCCUUCAAGCAGUGUUUGAAGGGCAGAGGGUGAUUAAGCUCAAAUCUAAACAACUUGGUGAGUAUAAAGAUGAGACAAGUGUUGGGAUUUACAAGGACCUUGCUGUGGAUUUUGAUCUUAGAAUCAGAGCCAAGUAUGGAAAGUUCAAGAGUAGUCGUUUCAAUACACCCAUUGUUCAGUGUCGCCGAUUGAGGGUUCCUUUGAUUUCUAAUGGUAAAUCAGUACCUCCUUUUAGUGUCACCAGAUGCAAAAGUGCUUCUUUCUUCUCAGAUCGUGAUGCGCCUGAUGUUGAUGGAUAGGAGCUGCAGGCUGAUAUGAAACCUCUAUAAUCAGUUGACCAUGUCAGUUAAUCUGUACACAAUUUUUCCAUUAAAAAUAAUCUGCAGAGAGAUGUGUAAAGGUGUUACAUGGAUAUAUAUACACCAUAACAUAUAAAAACACUCUCAUGUAUGUUGUAUACAAAAAAUAAAGGAAAAUACUCAAUUUAUGUAUCAUUUUGAUUUUCUUAUGUUAUAUGAUAUUUCAGCUGGUUGUUGUUCAUUUCUUUGUAGUCCCCAUGAUUGUGAUUGAUGAUAUACUGUAAUGUUUACUUUUAAUUUCCAAAAGUAGAUACAUACGUGGAGAGAGGUGGAAACUUGAGAAUUGCAUCUUUUGGUAAACGAGAAUUCACACACGCCAAUUAUAUAGAAUUUGUCAUGGAUAUAUCAUUCCCAUCAACGUAAACUUCACCAGCCAAUUUUCCUCUAAAGCAUCAACAUCAACUGGUCUUGUAUGACAUUUUUUUUAUUCAUAAAUGGCAAUAAUAGUAGGAACAUUUUAAUAGCGACAUGUUGUCUGUGUUUAAAAAGUAAAAAAAAAUGGAAUAAUUAAUUUCUUCACAACUGGGAAUUUUAUAUGAAACUUGUCGUUUGGAAAUGGUUUUAAUUGACCUAUUUACACAUCUUUUUAUUUUCACAAAUGAAUUUAUUUCAAUAUUCUAUUUAAAUAUUUAAUUAUCGUUCAUCCAUCUUCCAUGUUGGUCAAUAACCCCUCUACAUGAUAAGGAUUAACCUCAUGCAUUUGAUUAAACAUUAACCUCAUGUUAGUUCUUAAUUAUUUUAUAAAUUAAUCCGAAGACAGCCGUCCUUAUCCAAAAUUACCUUCUUUCAUAUAAAAAUCUCUUAUAAAAAUAUUUCUGAUUUAACUAUAAGAAAAAAUAGUUAAUUUUGCACUAAUUAAAAAAUUCAAUUUAUUAUUUACUUGUAGUAAUCUCAAUUAAAAAAUAAUUUUAACUUAAAUGUACUUUCAAUUCAUAUGAUCAUUUUUUUUCUAAUGGAUCCAUGCGGUUAUAAAAAUUCCUAAAAAUAGCUGGCGUGACAAAUAAUUGCUGGCAUUAGAAAGUAGUUGUCAACAAAAAAUAUCAUAUUAUGAGUGUCACGUAAGUAAGGAAAAAAGACAAAAUUAUUGGGGUUAAAAACCUAAAUGGGAAAAUUUAAAUUUUAAAUUAAAUACUAAUAUAAAAUAAAUACUUAAGUAAACCUAACUAAACUUUAAUCUAACUUAGCUCAGAUUUACAAAACUUGAGUUUGUUUUAUUUUAUUGUAGAUUCAUUUUUAAGACUUAGUUUGUCCUAUUUGAAAGUCUAACAUAUAUUUUUAAAGAUUUUAGAUAAACCGACAAACAUGAACCAAGGCACAUUUUAGUUUUAUAGAACCACAAUCUUGUGUCACAGUUGCAACUUAAGUAUUUAUCCUAUCCAUUUGUGAAUAUUUUUGGAAUAUCUGCAGGGUUCGAAUACACUUUUUCAUCCUUAAAAAUUACCAAUUUAGCAUAAUAAUUACACUUUAAAGGCCAAAAUAAAAAAAUGAAACUUAAAAGACCACAAUAUAAUAAAAAUAUAUAAAUAAGAAAUCAAAAUUAUAUUUAACCAAAAAUAAUAAUAAAAGAACUCAAAAUGAUCCUAAUAAAAUAUAAAGUUAACUUAUUUUUUAAAGUUUGAACCUAAAAUAUUGUGCGAGCUACUCAAAUUCCCAAAUCCCUACAUACAUGGCUAGGGAUGACAAUAGGUGGGUUUUGGAUAGGAUCUUAUAGUGUUGAUUCUCAUACCUGUGUUUUAAAAAAAUCUUCAUACCCGGUCUCAUAGCUUGACAGAUAGUAACUUUAACCCUCAUCUUGUUUCUAUUAGAUACUUAUAUACUCAUAAUCACACUUGCAACUCACACUAAUGUAUAAAGUUAAUAAAUCAAGUCAAGUUAAUACAUAAUCCUGAGUUGUCUAAACUCAAGUCAAUACACAAAAAUUACAAAAAUAAUAAUUUAACAUUAUGAUUCCUAAAGUUAAUAUUCUAAUCGCUUAAUAAAAACUCUAAUUAAACUUGAAUAUCAUGGAUAAUUUAUGUGUGUGUAUAUGUGACAUGUACAUAACAAGAGGAGUGAGUAUUAUAAUAUUCAUACCUGCACUCAUAUCUAUGUAAAUUUACAUAUAAAUAUUCGUUUUCCAUACCUAAUCUCAAUAUGUAGAUAAUUAUUCUUUUGACUUGUAAAUAAUUUUAUAGAUACCCGUAAGAUCAGGUGGACUUUUUUGUCCCUAUUGUACCAUAGUGAAUUUUUCUUUUGAGAUGCAUGUAUCUAUCAAUUGACACAUGCAUGAUAAGUAGUGAAAAAUAACAAAUUAUUAAAGAAAGUAUUUAAUAGGUUUUUUUUACGAAAGUAUUUAUUAGGUUAAAAGUUAAAAAAUUAAUCAAUGCUUUUUUUAUAAUUUAAAACACUUAAUAUGAUAUAUUAAAUAUUUUUUUACCAGAUGUCUUAAUACAGACACAAUUUCUUCAUCACAUUUUAUAUUGUGUACUCUCAUCUCCACGUUUCCUAGUUGUUAAUCAAACUAUAUAUUGAAGAAUUUUUCUUUACUCGGCUUCAAAAGUCAAUGCCUCGGUGCACUUGUAUUAUAUUUUGCAGGGAAAUCUCCCAGAAAAGAUCAAUCAACAAACCACACGCCUAAACCAUCAACGUCUAUACCCUUCAAAUACCCUUAGACAAGUGUUGGGAUUUACAAUGACUUGACUGUGGAUUUUGAUCUUAGAAUCCGGGCCAAGUUUGGAAGGUUGUUCAAGAGUAAUCGUUUCCAUCCACCAGUCGUGCAGUGUCGCCGUUUGAAGGUUCCUUUGAUUUUUAAUGAUAAAACAGCACCUCCUUUUAGUGUCACCAGAUGCAGUGCUGCUUAUUUCUUUUCAGAUCGUGAUGCUAAAGUCCAAGCAGAUGGAAAUGCAUUUAGUUACAUUACCAUUAACCAGGAAAAGUCACGGUGUCUUUUCUUCACCUUAUUUCAUUAAAUCAAUUUGAUAGCUCGAAUUUUGUGGCAAAAAGGUUUAUAGGCUUUAAUUGAAAAAUAAAAUAAAAAAUUAAACUUAAUAAUUUAAUGUGACAAAAUAAGUCUUAUGACAUUAUAUGACUAGAUCACUUUUUUUUUUUUUUUACUUUGAAAUUAAUAUGGUUUUUAUAUUUAGUUGUAUUCUAGCAGUUUUAUAUCAUCACAAAAAUUUCUUUUACAACAGGUGACAGAUGUGUAAACAGUAAGAUUGAUCUAAUGGCCUAAAAUGAGAGAAAACUACUUAACUUUUACCCCUUAAAAUCACUGAAUCCAUAACCAGAGCUUCCUGUUAUGAAACCUCUUUAACCCCUGGAUAUAUGGAUAUUUGAGCUGUUGCUGUCAGUUAAUUUGUGCACAAUUUUUCCAUUACCUCAAUCUGCAGUGCUAUGUAAAAGUGUUACAUGCAUAUAUAUACAUAAGUAUAUAUAUAUAUAUAUAUAUAUAUAUAUAUAUAUAUAUAUAUAUAUAUAUAUAUAUAUAUAUAAGUAUACAAAAAUAAAGAAAAAUUCUCAUGUUAUGUAUGACUUCGAUUUUCCAGACUGCUGUUUAUAUGUUAUUUCAGUUUUAAUUGGUAAAUUAGAAUUCACACACACGCAGAUUAUAUAGAAUUUUACAUGGGAUGUCACUUGACCAACCAAUGUUCCUCUAAGUCUCACGACUAGCCUUGUAUGAAAUUAUAUAUAUUAAUGAAUGAUUUUCAAAGCAGUAGGAAUAUUUAGAUGCGACAUGUUAUCGAUUGAGUUUAAAAAGUCAAAAAAAUGAAAUAAUUAAUUUCUUCACAAUUGGGAAUUUUAUGCAAGUUUGUUGGGAAAUGGUAUCAAUCGACCUAUAUUUACACAUCAUUUUUAUUCUCAUUCUUCAAAUGAAUUCAUUUCAAUUUGAAUAUUUAAUUAUUGUUCCAUCUUCCAUCUUUGUCAAUUAUAACCCUCUACAUGAUAAGGAUUAAGCUCAUGCAUUUGAUUAAACAUUAAAGCAUAGGAGCUAAAUGACUGUAUGAUUAUGACUAUGUGCUAGUUCUUAAUCAUUCCAAAAAUAUAUAUAUUCUCUAUCAUAUAAUAAAGUACUCAAGUUGUUUUUUUUUUUUUCAUCUUUUUCAAGAACACCGAAUGACGUAAUGCUAAUUAAUAAGUAUUUCAUUGUGAAGAUUCUGAAUUGCUACUUUCCUGGGAAACCACGUAGGCAAUGAUUCAUGACCCAAUUGGAUAUUUCGAAUAUAAGCACCACACUAGCAUGUUAUUGUCAACAGUAAGAAAUCGUUCACUGUGACAGUGUCUGUUCUCUUGCAUCUAAAACUACAAGAGACUGAUAUAGGUACAACACGGGUUACAUAUAAAUAGAGUGUUUUUUCUUACAAAGAAAAAAAAUGUGACACUAGAAGUCUAAGGAGUGCCACUAGAAAACGUUGCAAAAGCAAAUGAGUGACACUACAAGUCUAACUUCGCUCUUGGAUGUUAACAAAGUAAGUUCUACUAAGUUAGAAAAUAACUGUUGAUUACAUCUAGUCUAGAUCUUACAUUUUCCAAAGUUUUUAAGUUCUUCCAUUAGUAGAUCUGCCACUGAUUAAAGAAAACGUACCACACUCAGUACAAAGAUAUUAACAUUGAAGAAAUUAAUAUGCUAUUCCAGUUGGAGGCAUCUUUCGUUCCUCAGGCAUAUUGAACUACAUAAAAAGGAGACAACAUCUUGAAUCAGAUCAAAAUAAAUUCUCUACGUAUUUAAUAGUUCUACCUCUAUAUUCUCUACAUCUUGUAGUUUAAUGUGUCCUCUAUAUUCUCUACAUCUUGUAGUUUAAUGUGUCUUAACUCUUAAGGAAUUCUGCCCACUAUUAUAUUUACACAAUCAAAACCCAAAUAAUUAAGUAGGAGGUAAAGUUUAAUGGCUCUACCUGUUACAUAUCCAGUGAGGGUUUAUUCCUUUUGCUUCUAUGCAAUGAGGGCACAUCCAUCCCUUGUUCUUUCUCACUUCCUCUAUUUCUAAAACAGAACAAUAGUGAACAAUUUCAGACUACCAACAUGAGUAAUUUUUAAUAAGUCUUGUUAUAUUUUAGAAUAUCUCACUAUUGAGUUCAAAGCAUAACUUACAACUUUAUGAUGAAACAAAUUUUAUAACAUAAGAUAGUUUUUAUGUCAAAAAGAAUGAAAAAUAAGCAAUAACUUUAUAACAUAUAACCUCUAGAUGCAGGUAUGAGGGUGGGACAACUAAAACUAUUUCAAUUAAAUAUAUUAUACUACUAUAUAUCAAACAAAUAUAAAACCAAGCUCUUAAGAUUGGCCAAGGGUGGACUUAAUAUUAGUUAACAAAAGCUAAGUCAUGAAUACCCUUACUGUACAACCAAAGUUAAUGUGAAACCAAGGAUUUUUCUUAAUGCAAUUUUAAUUUGUUUGCCUUGUUUAGCUGCCCCUUAUCGUUGGCUGAACUAUUUUUUCUCACCUUCACCAUAUCAAAUCUUGAGACAGGCUCUACAAAAAACACCAGUGCUAGAGUGACAGACAGAACAAUCAGUCUUUCCUGUUAGGAAAUCAUUGUCAAACUGUUAAAACAUUGUGGAACUAAAGCAAAAAAAGAACUCAAAAUAAGACUUUUUAAAUCUGACCUAGGCAUGGUUCUUUCACAUCAAAAUUGCCACAUCUCUUGCAGUCUUCUUCGCCACACAAUUUCUUUUGCCUGCAUUUGUGUUUUAGUGUUACAUCGCAAUGUCAUCAACUCAUCAUCAUCAUCAUCAGCUAUACCAAAUACUAUUACACUUGUUUAUAUAUAUAGCUCCACAUUAAACCCAUUACCUAUUAGGAAAUUUCUCUACAUUGACCAGAUUGGAUAUAUGUCAAAUUGUUGGCAAUGACCAAACAGUAUCAUCAUUUUGUAUUAGCUUCUAAUAUAAAGCAUAUACCACAAGAACCUUAUACCCCAAAUAACAAACUAAUAUAAGCUUAUACUAUAAAGCAUAUACUACCAAACUGUGAACCUUAUACCCCAAUUCUAAUAUAAAGCAUAUACCACCAAACCGUGAACCUUAUACCCCAAAUAACAAACUAAUAUUAUCUUCUAAUAUAAAGCAUAUACCACCAAACUUUGAGCCUUAUAUCCCAAUAACAAACUAUGUAAAUUUGUGACUAAGGAUUAGUAAAACAUUAAAUUAAUCUCCAGUUGUUAACAAACAAAAGGGAGUGAGAAAAUGGACCUGCAAAAAUGGCAGCAUAUCCCCAAAAUUGGAUUGUAGACACUACCUCUGUCCUUGCUAUCACACCGCCGAGCAGAAUUCUCUGCUGAAAGCUGAAGAUCUACAUUGCUUAGGUUUAUGAAAGGAACAUUGGCAGGCCUCUGCUCCUCUUUUUUCACUUCACACAAAGUUACCUUCUUCUCUGUCACAAUUCACAGAAAAAGUUACCAAAACAAGCAGUGGUUGAAGAAAGAGUAAAUAGCAAUCAUGGUCUUCCAAAUAUAUACGCCUAGUGGUCACAUGCUACUUCACUUAUAAAAUACAUGAUACAUACUAGUCUUUCAAAAAUAGAGAAUGAUGCAAAAUGAUUCCUUAUGAAGGAGGAAAAAACUAAUGGCAUUAAUUUUCAAAUGAAGAACCAAUAUUGUUGCAGAAAUGUCAUGUGACAUGUAUGUUUUGGAGGAUCAAAAUAAUUGUACCUUUAAUUUGAUCCUACAAAGAUUAGAGUGUCACUAAAUUAGUCCUUCAAACAUUAAAAAAAUUCACUAUAUUAGUCUUCCAAAGGUACAAAUUAUUCUUCCUUGCAUUUGAAGGAUUGAAGUGGUGAUGCAAAAUACUAGUCCUUUAAGAGGGGAAAGGUGUGUGUGAUAUUUAGGAGGUUGUUCCAGAAAAGAGAGACAAGAAGAGUAAAGAAAAAAGCUUAAACCUUGUUUGAUGGGUGUGGAAUGCUGAGACUAAGAAGGUGGCGGCGUAAGGUUGUUGCUGAUUCGCUGAGAGUAGCGCAAAGGGGUGAGACCGUACAGUUUUUUUUGGUAAGUACGAGGUUGUUGUUGUUGUUGUUUCUUGGCUUGUUGUCGGAGCUGAGAAACGGUAUUCACAACACCCAAAGACUCCAACUGAAGCCUGAUUCUCUAACAUGCGAGCCUUUCUGAGAGCUUCAUACUCGCAUUUUGCUUUCUCUCUCACUCUCCCAAUUCUCUUCUUCUGAGACUUCACUCGUAAUAAUGUAACAUUACACUUUUCACUUUCUGUUAGAAAUGAUAGUAAUUCUGACUUUGUUGGUUAAGUCUUUCUAAUAUAGGAAGUUAGUUGGUUAGUUAAUAAUGAUGCAAUCAAGUUGUUAGUGAGGGGCCAAAAUGCAAAAUACAAUUCAGUCUCUGUCCCUCUUAUAAAUACUGUUUUCAUUGUUCUUUCAAUAAUAAUUUUUUCAGAUUCUUUCAUUUUCCUUAUUUGUUAGUUUUGCUUCUCUCUAAACCUCUCUCACUUUUCUCCUUCCUCAAGUUACCUCUUUGUGCGUGUGUGUGCGCAAGAACAGGAAGUUCUAACAGUGGUAUUUCAGAGCUAGGUUCGAAAAAGAGACCAAUUCUCCAAUCAUGGCUUCGAAUGGUCCUUUUCCCUUAAAUCUUCCAAUUCUAACCGGCAAGAACUUCAACAGAUGGAGUGUGCAAAUGAAAGUCUUGCUUGGAUUUCAAGACUUGACCGGUGUGAUUGAGAAUGGAAUAGAAAUUCCUAAAGAGGGAGCCUCAGAUUUGCAGAAGACUGAAUUCAAGGAUCUGAAGAAGAAAGACUGCAAAGCCUUGGUGAUCUUGCAUCAAUGUGUCGAUGAUUCUCACUUUGAGAAAAUCGAAAAUGCUAAAUCCGCAAAGGAAGCAUGGGACAUUCUGAACAAGGCUUAUGCAGGAGCUGAUAAGAUCAAGAAGGUGAGACUUCAGACUCUUCGAAGGCAAUUUGAAUUGCUGCAGAUGGAAGAGACCGAGAGCAUUGGAGAUUACUUUGGAAGAUUGCAGGUUCUUGCAAAUUCAAUCACUAGUUGUGGUGAUACAAUUACUAAUCUGACGUUAGUUGAGAAAGUUCUGAGGACCCUGAAUCCAAGAUUCAAUCACAUUGUGGUUGCAAUUGAGGAAUCAAAGGACUUGGAAUCAUUAUCUGUUGAUGAAUUACAAAGAUCACUUGAGGCACAUGAACAAAGAUUGCAAGAAAGAGCAAAUGAUAAGGCUACAGAACAAGCACUGCAAGCACACCAUCAAUCAAGAAAUGGUGGUUCUGAUAAUCGCAGAGGCAAGAAAGGAAGAGGGAGAUUCCAGAACACGAGAGGUAGAGGAGGUUACUCCAAAGAUAAAGGUAAACCUCAACCUGAUCAAAGAAGUGGAGAUAACUGCAGUAAAAGAAGUGGUGGUUCUGGUACUCGUGGAAGAGGAGGCAAAAAGAAAUGGGAUAAAAGAAAUGUUGAAUGCUUCAAUUGUGGAAAAAGAGGUCAUUAUGCAGAAGAAUGCUGGUAUAAGGAGAAAAAUGCUGAUGAUGAAGCACAAUUAGCCACAGGAGCUGUUUCUGACACUGAACCAGUGUUGUUGAUGGUCAUAACAAAGACUGGAGCUGAUGCAAAAGAUCAAUGGUACUUGGACACAGGAUGUUCAACACAUAUGACUGGUCACAAGGACUGGUUUGUUAGCCUUGAUGAGUCAGUAAAUCACAAGGUCAGAUUUGCAGAUGACAGCACUAUUAGAGUUGAAGGUCAUGGCAAGGUUGUGAUUAAAAGAAGGGAUGGUACAGUGUCAUACAUUGAGGAUGUGCUCUAUGUUCCAAACAUGAGAUGCAAUCUUCUAAGUCUUGGCCAACUACUUGAUAAGAAAUACAGAAUGGUGAUGGAGGACAAAGAAAUGAAGAUCUAUGACAAGGACAAAAGGUUGAUCAUCAAAGCUCCAUUCAACAGGAAUAGAACUUUUAAGGUUGGUAUUCAAGUCAUGAAACACAAUUGCUUGCAGGCUGAGACAUGUAGAGAGGAAUGGUUGUGGCAAUACAGAUUUGGACCCUUGAAUUUCAAGGAUUUGAGUCAACUGCACAGAAUGGCUCAAGGAAUACCUCACUUGAGACAGAUGACAGAUAACUGCAGAGAAUGCCUAGAGUGCAAGCAACCAAGGAAUGCAUUUCAGAAAUUUGUACCAGUAAAGUCAACACAUAAAUUGGAGGUGAUCUAUUCAAAUGUUUGUGGUCCUCUUCAGGUUGAAUCCCUAGGAGGAAACAAGUACUUUGUAACAUUCAUAGAUGACUUGACUAGAAUGACUUGGAUUUAUAUAAUCAAGAAGAAAAAUGAGGUUCCUAUAAUUUUCAAAAAAUAUAAAGCCUCAGUAGAAAAAUGUAGUGGCCACUGUAUAAAAACAUUAAGAACUAACGGAGGUGGUGAAUACACCUCCAAGGAAUUUGCUGAGUUUUGUGAUGAGGCAGGUAUCACUCAUGAGUUCACUCCACCUUAUACACCACAACACAAUGGUGCUGCUGANNNNNNNNNNNNNNNNNNNNNNNNNNNNNNNNNNNNNNNNNNNNNNNNNNNNNNNNNNNNNNNNNNNNNNNNNNNNNNNNNNNNNNNNNNNNNNNNNNNNNNNNNNNNCAAAUGCCCUACCAAGAGACUGAAAGGAGUGACACCUGAAGAAGCUUGGACUGGUACUAAACCAAAAGUGAAUCAACUCAGAAUUUUUGGUUCACUUUGUUAUAAGCAUGUCCCUGAGCAGUUGAGGCAGAAACUGGAUGAAAAAGGUGAACAAAUGAUCCUUAUAGGCUAUCAUGCAACUGGAGGUUACAAGCUACUUGAUCCAAGGUCAAAGCAGGUCUCUGUGAGCAGAGGUGUGAUAUUUGAUGAACUAAAGGAAUAUGAGUGGAAGGAGGACCCUAUAAACAAUACAACCAAGAUUCUGGUAGAUUCAAUCAUUCCAAAAGAAUUGAGUGACACUACUGAUGAACUGCCUACAAGGAACACUGAAGGAGGAACCAGGAGGUCUUAAAGGGUUAUGCAACCCUCACAAAUGUUGAAAGAUUAUGAAGUCAUGAAAGACAGCCAAAUCACAGAUGAAGGUGAUAUUGUACACUUUUCCCUAUAUGCAGAUGCUGAACCUGUGAGUUUCGAAGAAGCCUUGAAGAAUGACAAGUGAGUCAAUGCUAUGAAAGAGGAGCUGAAAUCAAUUGAGACAAAUCAUACCUGGCAGCUAAUGGCAAGUGCAUAUCUGAACAUGGAGUAUAUGUAAAAGGAGAAUAUGAGUCAGACUUAGUAAUAUUGUGCCUCUAUGUUGAUGAUUUACUCAUCACAGGAAACAACAAGGUAGAGAUUGACAAGAUUAAGCAACUGCUGAAGAAUCAAUUUGAAAUGACUGACUUAGGAUCUCUCUCAUACUUCCUUGGAAUUGAGUUCAAGGAAACUGAAGCUGGAAUUGUGAUGCAUCAAAGCAAAUAUGCUACAGACCUGUUGAAGAAGUUUCGAAUGACUAACUGUAAUGCAGCAGCCACCCCAGCUGAAACAGGAUUGGCAUUGAGUUUGAGAGAUGAAGGAGAACCUGUUGAUGAAACUCAGUACAGACAGAUUGUGGGUUCAUUAAGGUACUUGUGCAAUACAAGACCUGAUUUGGCAUUCAGUGUUGGACUGAUCAGUAGGCUUAUGCAAACUCCAAAAACUCCUCACAUGAUGGCAACAAAGAGAAUUUUGAGGUAUAUUAGAGGCACAAUUAACUAUGGUAUUCUACUGCCAAAUACCAUCACGAGUUCAAACAUGGAACUGCUUGGCUAUACUGACUCAAACUGGAUAAGAGAUAAUGAUGAUAGAAAGAGCACUGCUGGAUAUAUUUUCCUACUUGGAGAUGCACUGGUGUCAUGGAGUUCAAAAAAGCAAGAUCUUAUUGCCUUAUCAACUUGUGAAGUUGAAUACAUAGCAGCAUCAAUGUGCUUGUGUCAAGGCUUAUGGCUAAGAAAACUGUUGAAAGAAAUGAAGAUCCAGAAGACUGAAGCUAUAAACAUACUGGUGAACAAUAAAUCUGCAAUCAGCCUUGCAAAAAAUCCAAUUGAUCAUGGUCGAAGCAAACACAUAGAAACAAGGUACCAUUUUAUUCGGGACAAGGUGAGCAAAGGGAAGGAAAAACUGCUAUACUGCAAGUCAGAAGAUGAUCUUGCAGACUUACUGACUAAACCUUUGAAGAAGAACAGAUUUGAAGACUUGAGAAACAAGAUGAUGAUCAUGAUUGAAUGAGAGUCAGAAUUAUGGGGGAGUGUCAGAAAUGAUAGUAAUUCUGACUUUGUUUGUUAAGCCUUUCUAAUAUAGGAAGUUAGUUGGUUAGUUAAUAAUGUUGUAAUCAAGUUGUUAGUGAGGGACCAAAAUGCAAAAUACAAUUCAGUCUCUGUCCCUCUUAUAAAUACUGUUUUCAUUGUUCUUUCAAUAAUAAUUUUUUCAUUCUCCUUAUUUGUUAGUUUUGCUUCUCUCUAAACCUCUCUCACUUUUCUCCUUCCUCAAGUUACCUCUUUGUGCGUGUGUGUGCGCAAGAACAACAAGUUCUAACACUUUCCAGCAACAUUUUUUUUUUCUGAAAUACUUUCCAGCAGCAUCGUGCUUAACGGUUGAAUUUCUGACCACAUUUACCGCUUCUAUCUAUAGUUACACAUGUCUUUCUGCUCCCCUCCCACCCUAAAAAAAAUUGUAAAAAAGGAAAAAGACAUCGAUUAAAUAAGAAAUUUGAUUAAAAAAGGUAACAGUACUGAUUAAAAAAACUGGAAAAAAAAUAUUUAGUAUGAGAAUUAUAAGAAAUUAUAAAAAUAUUAUAGGCAACUUAAUUUUUUACUUUUUAAUAAAAAUAUAUAUAACUCAAUUUGUACACUAUUAUUCAAUAUAUAACUCAAUUUGUACACUAUUAUGUAACUCUGCAGAUUGAGUUAUAUAUUGAAUAAUAGUGUACAAAUUGACAUUGUCAACAUAGAUUUCAUUCAUAAGCAUCCUGAUCUUGGAAAAAAUUAAUUACCAGUGUUGCGAAUUCAGAUUGGCUUUAGCAAGUGCAUAUCUGAACAUGGAGUAUAUGUAAAAGGAGAAUAUGAGUCAGACUUAGUAAUAUUGUGCCUCUAUGUUGAUGAUUUACUCAUCACAGGAAACAACAAGGUAGAGAUUGACAAGAUUAAGCAACUGCUGAAGAAUCAAUUUGAAAUGACUGACUUAGGAUCUCUCUCAUACUUCCUUGGAAUUGAGUUCAAGGAAACUGAAGCUGCAAUUGUGAUGCAUCAAAGCAAAUAUGCUACAGACUUGUUGAAGAAGUUUCGAAUGACUAACUGUAAUGCAGCAGCCACCCCAGCUGAAACAGGAUUGGCAUUGAGUUUGAGAGAUGAAGGAGAACCUGUUGAUGAAACUCAGUAUAGACAGAUUGUGGGUUCAUUAAGGUACUUGUGCAAUACAAGACCUGAUUUGGCAUUCAGUGUUGGACUGAUCAGUAGGUUUAUGCAAACUCCAAAAACUCCUCACAUGAUGGCAACAAAGAGAAUUUUGAGGUAUAUUAGAGGCACAAUUAACUAUGGUAUUCUACUGCCAAAUACCAUCACGAGUUCAAACAUGGAACUGCUUGGCUAUACUGACUCAAACUGGAUAAGAGAUAAUGAUGAUAGAAAGAGCACUGCUGGAUAUAUUUUCCUACUUGGAGAUGCACUGGUGUCAUGGAGUUCAAAAAAGCAAGAUCUUAUUGCCUUAUCAACUUGUGAAGUUGAAUACAUAGCAGCAUCAAUGUGCUCGUGUCAAGGCUUAUGGCUAAGAAAACUGUUGAAAGAAAUGAAGAUCCAGAAGACUGAAGCUAUAAACAUACUGGUGAACAAUAAAUCUGCAAUCAGCCUUGCAAAAAAUCCAAUUGAUCAUGGUCGAAGCAAACACAUAGAAACAAGGUACCAUUUUAUUCGGGACAAGGUGAGCAAAGGGAAGGAAAAACUGCUAUACUGCAAGUCAGAAGAUGAUCUUGCAGACUUACUGACUAAACCUUUGAAGAAGAACAGAUUUGAAGACUUGAGAAACAAGAUGAUGAUCAUGAUUGAAUGAAAGUCAAAAUUAUGGGGGAGUGUUAGAAAUGAUAGUAAUUCUGACUUUGUUUGUUAAGCCUUUCUAAUAUAGGAAGUUAGUUGGUUAGUUAAUAAUGAUGUAAUCAAGUUGUUAGUGAGGGACCAAAAUGCAAAAUACAAUUCAGUCUCUGUCCCUCUUAUAAAUACUGUUUUCAUUGUUCUUUCAAUAAUAAUUUUUUCAUUCUCCUUAUUUGUUAGUUUUGCUUCUCUCUAAACCUCUCUCACUUUUCUCCUUCCUCAAGUUACCUCUUUGUGCGUGUGUGUGCGCAAGAACAACAAGUUCUAACACUUUCCAGCAACAUUUUUUUUUUCUGAAAUACUUUCCAGCAGCAUCGUGCUUAACGGUUGAAUUUCUGACCACAUUUACCGCUUCUAUCUAUAGUUACACAUGUCUUUCUGCUCCCCUCCCACCCUAAAAAAAAUUGUUAAAAAGGGAAAAGACAUCGAUUAAAUAAGAAAUUUGAUUAAAAAAGGUAACAGUACUGAUUAAAAAAACUGGAAAAAAAAUAUUUAGUAUGAGAAUUAUAAGAAAUUAUAAAAAAUAUUAUAGGCAACUUAAUUUUUUACUUUUUAAUAAAAAUAUAUAUAACUCAAUUUGUACACUAUUAUUCAAUAUAUAACUCAAUUUGUACACUAUUAUGUAACUCUGCAGAUUGAGUUAUAUAUUGAAUAAUAGUGUACAAAUUGACAUUGUCAACAUAGAUUUCAUUCAUAAGCAUCCUGAUCUUGGAAAAAAUUAAUUACCAGUGUUGCGAAUUCAGAUUGGCUUUAGCAAGUGCAUAUCUGAACAUGGAGUAUAUGUAAAAGGAGAAUAUGAGUCAGACUUAGUAAUAUUGUGCCUCUAUGUUGAUGAUUUACUCAUCACAGGAAACAACAAGGUAGAGAUUGACAAGAUUAAGCAACUGCUGAAGAAUCAAUUUGAAAUGACUGACUUAGGAUCUCUCUCAUACUUCCUUGGAAUUGAGUUCAAGGAAACUGAAGCUGCAAUUGUGAUGCAUCAAAGCAAAUAUGCUACAGACCUGUUGAAGAAGUUUCGAAUGACUAACUGUAAUGCAGCAGCCACCCCAGCUGAAACAGGAUUAGCAUUGAGUUUGAGAGAUGAAGGAGAACCUGUUGAUGAAACUCAGUACAGACAGAUUGUGGGUUCAUUAAGGUACUUGUGCAAUACAAGACCUGAUUUAGCAUUCAGUGUUGGACUGAUCAGUAGGUUUAUGCAAACUCCAAAAACUUAAUAUUUUUUCCUAUACGUCUAACUUAAUAUGAACUUGCUAAAUAUUUUUUUCCCUAAUUUAUUUUUUCCUUGUUUUUAUUGCAUGAUAUAGUGUAUUGUUGAUUUAUAUAGUGUGAAUUCAAAUUAUUUUACUACUAUUAUUUUGUUAUUUAGUUCAAGUUAUUUAUUUCUUUCAUUUUUAUUUUAUUUUUUUAACACAACCUAGUCAACCCAACUUAAAAAUGUAACAUCGUACUGUAUGUUUAUAUUUACAUAAAGAAAAAUGAUUUAUUUUUUACUGUGUAAUUUUUUUUUUAAUUAAUAAUAAGUCGCCCACAAUAAGUAAAAUUAAUCUAUGAUUCAGAUAAUUAAGAAAAAAACAUGCGUGUGCAAAAAAAAACAAAAAAAGAAACAACCCAGUCGCAUCCUUAUUUCUUCACAUAAUAUUUUUAUAUAUACGUCUAACUCGUCGACCAAAUUGUGGUUUCCUUGUUACUUGUGAAUCAAACAAUUGAACAGUUCUUUCUUACUCGGCGUUCAAUAUUAAAAAGCCAAUGACAUUCUAUGCACUUGUACUGUAUUUUACAAGGAAAUCUCUCAGAAAACCUCAAUCAAACAAACCACAAGCCCAAAUCAUCAAUACUAAACCCCUUCAAAUACCCAUAUAUAGGUGGGAAAAAAUGACAUACCAUCUUUCAUCAUUCACCUAAACCUUCUUUUCCUACCAAUCAAUCACAUGUGUUGCAGAAACCGCUUCAUCGCCUGCACCUGCUGCAUAAUCAUCACCCUCUUCUUCAUGUUCAUAAUUUCCAUCAUCCUCUUUUGGAUAAUCAUAUCCCCAUCAAAUGUCAAGUUCCAUGUAACCGAUGCCUCCCUAACAGAAUUCAACCUCACAAGCAACAAUACCUUGUAUUACAACCUAAAGGUCAACGUCACAGUGAGAAACCCCAACAACAAAAUCGUAGUGUACUAUAGGAGGAUCAAAGCAAUAGCUUGGUACAAAGAUAAUGAUUUUGGUUGGGUGAGCUUAACACCCUUUGACCAAGGCCACAAGAAUACCACUUUCCUUCAAGCAGUGUUUGAAGGGCAAAGAGUGAUUAAGCUCAAACCUAAACAACUUGGUGAGUACAAAGAUGAGACAAGUGUUGGGAUUUACGAGGACUUGGCUGUGGAUUUUGAUCUUAGAAUCAAAGCAAACUUUGGAAGGUUCA